Molecule: long non-coding RNA, 2058 nt
Organism: Tarenaya hassleriana
Lineage: Eukaryota; Viridiplantae; Streptophyta; Magnoliopsida; Brassicales; Cleomaceae
Exons: 3
Source: RefSeq, a predicted model, not a curated record
UCUUUCAAAGAUUUUCCAGUGAAACGGCGUUUUAUUAAUGAACGACCAAAAUCGCUGAAGAAUCCGUUUGUUCGUCUUCCGCUCUUGUUCGUGAUCAUAUUCCAAGACAAGCCCUAAUCAUCUCUCUCUUCCAUCUUUUUCACUGAAAUCAGCCGCCAUGGCUCGAAGCUUCAUCUCGUGGCUGCACGACCUAGGUGAUUCGGGUCCUGCAAACGAACCCAUCAAGACAUUAUUCAAAUCCCCCGACUUCAGGAACUCUGACUGGCUGUCCCCUUCAUCUCCAACCAUAUCUCCUGCAACUGUACGAUUUUGGCUUUUGCUUCUAGUUUUCUGAUGAUGGACAUAUCGAAGGGUUUUCUUUUCGUCCUGUGGGGUUGGGUCUCUGGGUUUUGCAUAGUUCUGUUCUCUGAUUAAGCUGAUAAGUUAAAGCUCAUAUCUUGAUUAAUCUGGUGAAGAUUGCUGUGUUUCUGAUAGUUGCUUUUGUUGGGGAUUGCAAUGAGAUUCCUUUUGGUGAGUCUGGUAAUUUGAUAUGAACGUUUGGUGUAAUAACACCUCGUGUCCUGAGUGUUUUCUCCUUAAUCCUUCAAAUCUCAGUUUAUGAUUGGAUUGCUUCCAAUGGGUAUCGAUCUUUGUCGAAGAUGAUUGCUCAAAGUGCAAAUUGUUUUCGGAGUCUGCAUCGUUGUCAAUGCCAUUUGGUAUUUGGGUUUCAUUCUUGUGCAGAUGAUAUGGGUUAUGCCUUCAUGGUUUGACAUCCCUGAGUUCCCCUUGCAGUGAUCUCACAGCAGCAAAGUUUGAAUCUUUAUGAUAGGCUUCAACUAUACUUGCUAAUUAAUCCUACAUGGGUCUCUCCCUAUAGAACGAGAGCUUCAGCUGUUCGCCUUGUGAGGUGAUAUCGUCAAUAUGUUCUGAAUCCACAGGGGGAUUUCCGGAGGAACAAAUCCAGAAAAUGUCUAUACUUGUGGAUUUAACCAAGGAGGUGUUUUCUCCACUUUAUUGGUAUUUCUCUGUUUCCCAUGAGUACCAUACUCUUUGAAUUGAUAGAGAAGCCCUUCUUUUUUUACUUGUGAAUCUAUAUGAUAGUGUUACAUUCCAGUUCCUGGUCAAAUUUCUUUUCUUUGCCCAAAAACUCUUGGAGGAGGGUGCCGUUUUAUUCUUUACUCAUCAAACAAUUUUCUGAAGAUGCUAAGAAGGUUCAUCUGUUUCUUGUUAAAAAGAACAAUCUUUAGGCAUUGAUUUCGGUUUCUUAUUCUUUCCAGAUUUGUUUUCUCCUCUGCAGACACAUGUCUUGUGGUCACACGGAAUGGAAUAGGUAUAGGUGACAGGACUCCGCUCUUUGAAGCUGGUCACUCUGCUCUUCCUUUCCUUCAAGAAGCAGGCCUAACUUGUGAGUUCAAGGUAUGAAUCCACAACACUAUACACACACGUUCCCUUUCUUUUGAUUCAUAACAUCUCUGCUUCUGCUUUAGGCCGCGAGACCCUUGUACAAUCGAAGACUUGUACAGUUGCCUUGCCUUGCCUUGUAGAGCCAUGGUGCUCGGUUCAUGUUUUGCGCAAAACCCGGAUUACUGAUUCCCUUCCUGGCCCUUUAAAUGGGUUUUACACUCAAUGGUUUGCAUUGUUUGCACAAAACAAUCCGAAACGUUUUCAGGCAAGCUACACCCAAGUGGCAUCCACCAUGAUUCUUGAUUAGAAUCUUGCUCCUGCUAUGGAUAUGAGUAUGAGUGCAGACUUGGUAAAUGUUUCCACUAUGAUUAUAGCAAUGUGCAUGUGAAGAGAUUUGUCUAUUUGCAGGCAUAGGCUGGUCUCCAUCAGCAACGAGGGGCUUCUCAAGCAUUUGGAGUCAUGGAUCAUGGAAAAAGUGUGUCCGAAGGAUAUGAUGAUAAGAACACCGAAGUGUGUCUGCUUCCAUCAAUGUCCAUUUGCUUUAACUUUAUUCAUCUUACUGUAUUAUUUAUAAAAAUGCGGUUAGAGAAUUAUUAGUUUGAACUUGUACAUACAAAAUGUUUAGAUAGAUAUAAAUCAUAUUUGUUUAGAAUAUAAAUCAUAUUAUGAAACAAA